Non-coding RNA from Oryctolagus cuniculus (rabbit), 1127 nucleotides. Lineage: Eukaryota; Metazoa; Chordata; Mammalia; Lagomorpha; Leporidae. The record is from RefSeq and is a predicted model, not a curated record.
CUCACAAACCUAAUCUACUUUAACCUGUAUGCCUGCCUACUUCACUAGGACUCAACUUCAUUAAGCAAGGAUUAUGAAGCCUAGGACCUGAAGCUGACAAUGAAGAAAACUGCCCAAAGUCUGGUGACCUGGAGACGACAACUGUGACUGAAAUAAGAUGAAGGGCUCAGAAAAAAAAGCAGUACACGGGAAGUACCCGUUGGUGUGGCUAACGGGAUUGUGUGAAGUUUGGAAGGUGGAGGAAAGUGGCAGUCACUGAGCGGACCACAGGUCUUGUCCCCGAGCUGCUGAUGCACCAUAAAGACACGAAGCAGCAACUGCAUCAAAGGGCUCCGGCUUCCGUGACAUGAUGAAACCGAGGAGAGGUCAAGAGACUUCCACAAGACCUCUCUGAAUCUUCUGCUGCUGAUGUGUGUUUCUGGAGAUUUGCAACACUGGCCGAACCCUGCCUCACGAAAACAUGCUCUAUUGGAAGGACUUCAGAGAAAGCUUUUUCCCUUUAUGCGCAAUUACAAGGCAUAAUUACAAGAGGAAGUUACAACAAGAGACUAAUGCAUUCCUCUGAAGACAUUUUUGAUCACACAGAUCUGAAUCAAACACAAGCACCAACAGACAUCAGGUGGUGAGAUUUGGGGCAGAUAACUUGGCUUCUCCAGGCUUGAGCUUCACCUUUUCUCAGUAUUUUCCAUAAUAGUACUCAACUCCUAAUACGGUAGUGAAGUUUUAAACAAUGUGUUUGAAAGGAGACUUAGAGAUUCCAGCACAUACCUUGCACUUAGUAAACGAUGAUAGUUAAUGUGUGUUAUUUUGCGGAGAAUGGUUUUUGCUGAGUGAAUCAGCGAAUAUCUUGGGUUGAAGGCAGUAACCAAACCACUGCUGGAGAUGAUCCUGCAUUCUGAGAGAUGAUGCAAACUGGCAACUCUGCAGUGCACUUUUCCCUUCUUUGUUAUUCUGACUUAGAACCAGACGUCCUGUCCCAGGGAUCUCUUCUGUCUGCCUCUGCCUGUGCAAGCCUGCAUUUGUUGUCCAGCUUCCUUUCUACCGUAUCUGUUACUCAGUGGAUUUUUUUCCAUCUCUUACAUCCAAGCUAUUAGUCCAUUCAAAAAUAGUCUUUGUCCAUCAGCUUU